GAUGAACGCUGGCGGCGUGCCUAAUACAUGCAAGUCGAGCGAACGGACGAGAAGCUUGCUUCUCUGAUGUUAGCGGCGGACGGGUGAGUAACACGUGGAUAACCUACCUAUAAGACUGGGAUAACUUCGGGAAACCGGAGCUAAUACCGGAUGAUAUUUUGAACCGCAUGGUUCAAAAGUGAAAGACGGCCUUGCUGUCACUUAUAGAUGGAUCCGCGCUGCAUUAGCUAGUUGGUAAGGUAACGGCUUACCAAGGAAACGAUGCAUAGCCGACCUGAGAGGGUGAUCGGCCACACUGGAAUUGAGACACGGUCCAGACUCCUACGGGAGGCAGCAGUAGGGAAUCUUCCGCAAUGGGCGAAAGCCUGACGGAGCAACGCCGCGUGAGUGAUGAAGGUCUUCGGAUCGUAAAACUCUGUUAUUAGGGAAGAACAUAUGUGUAAGUAACUGUGCACAUCUUGACGGUACCUAAUCAGAAAGCCACGGCUAACUACGUG
This 497-nucleotide ribosomal RNA is filed under the name uncultured bacterium. RNAcentral's name for it is "partial 16S ribosomal RNA". It matches the Rfam family "Bacterial small subunit ribosomal RNA", at positions 28 to 507 of the family's 1533-position model. The record is from RNAcentral.